This is a non-coding RNA of Phascolarctos cinereus (koala), 600 nucleotides long. The record is from RefSeq and is a predicted model, not a curated record. NCBI's taxonomy places the organism in Eukaryota, Metazoa, Chordata, Mammalia, Diprotodontia, Phascolarctidae.
UCCAGGUGUUGAAGUUUGCUUGCUCCACCACCUGGAUUUCAGGAUCUCCCCCUGGUGCUAAAGUGGAGCUUUCCACUAGCUUGCUGGAAUGUCUCCCAUUCAGUACUGUGCCCCUUCCCCCAGGGCGAGAGGCACCUUUCCCAUUAAUCCCUCAAGCUACCUGGGCUACUGGGCUGCUGGACUCUAUCUUUCUUGUGGUUCAGCUUUCCAGGGAUUUUCCAGCAGUGAUAUUUUCUGGGCUUUCAGAGAUUGAUAUGAGAGGGGAUUUAAACUCUCUUGUCAUCUACUGCUGGGCCAUAGCUGCAGAAGCAGCACUGAGGAGAGUUAUGGCCAGCUACCUCAAUCUUCCCAUUAUCCUCAAAUUCCUUGCCAGCAUUUAUAAGUCUUUGGAAAGCUGCAGGCUGGAGUGGAGAAAGGGGAAGCUUCCCCACAGUUACCAGGUCUUCAAUUUGUUGAUGACUUCAUUCCCGGAGCUUUCUACUGUCUUGCUGCUGAGUUCAAGCAAAGUUUUUUAGAGCAAAACAAGAGCGUACUGGUAAACUCCUUAAAGGCAGGAACUUUUACACCAGAAGAAUUUCUGUCACCAGCAUGAGCACGAGU